Molecule: long non-coding RNA, 435 nt
Filed under: Ananas comosus (pineapple)
Lineage: Eukaryota; Viridiplantae; Streptophyta; Magnoliopsida; Poales; Bromeliaceae
Description: long non-coding RNA (ACOM_LNC032346)
Source: RNAcentral
UUAUUUUUCAUCAUGUUAUUUCAAAAUUUAUAAUUUUUCAACAAUUCAACUCUGUCAUUUUAUUUUUUAAAUAAAUUUAGAUAUUUUUCUGAAAAAAUUCACUAAUAUUAUAAUAUUUAUCAUUUCACAUAUUUAACAAUUUAUCUAUAUUGUUAUUGGAGCAAUUACUUUUCAUCUUCAUGCAACAAAAUUUUUUUUCUUUAUAUUUUCUUGAAGACCAACAUCUAUAUAUUUUUGAAUCUUAAUAGUUUGUAUGUCUCUUAUAUACGUGUGCUUAUUCUAAUUUGUGUCAAAUAUGAAAGUUUAGUUGAUCUCAUUAUAUGCUUAAAUAUUAAUGUCAUUUGUAAUUUUUCAUAUCAAUUUAGUUAUCAUUUUAUUUUGCACAUCAAUAUGUAAAUGUAAAUUAUUUUGCACACCAAUUCAUAGAUAAUAGAG